GGCCGAGUGGCGAAACAGGCAGACGCACAGGACUUAAAAUCCUGUGGGACGAAAAUCCCGUGCGGGUUCGAACCCCGCCUCGGCUA
This 86-nucleotide transfer RNA is filed under the name Planctomycetota bacterium. Its description in RNAcentral is "Planctomycetes bacterium tRNA-Leu". It matches the Rfam family "tRNA". Rfam says of the family: Transfer RNA (tRNA) molecules are approximately 80 nucleotides in length. Their secondary structure includes four short double-helical elements and three loops (D, anti-codon, and T loops). The record is from RNAcentral. Lineage: Bacteria; Pseudomonadati; Planctomycetota.